CUUCUCAACACUCAAAUUUUCGUUUACAGAGAAACGAGAUCCAUAGCAGAAACCAUUCUCAUCUCUCAAAUCUUUGAUAGCCAAAUCGUGUGAACCCUAAACCCAAAUCAAAAUUGAUCUGAAAUUGAAGGCUCGACAAGGGCGAUUUGCUCAGUCCGUUGACAUGACGAAAACAAACAAAGGUAAUUCAAGAAAAAAUUUCCAACUUUUUUCUCAUAUCACUUCUACUGCCUUCGUUUUUCAAAGUAAUAUUUUUUGUUAAAAUCAUUGGAUUUGUUGUUCAAGUAUUUUUAUUUUUAUUUUUAUGUAAGAUGCAGUCAAUGUAUUUGACGAAAAUGGAGAUUGGUUUAUCACCGUUGAUGGACUGAAAUUGAUCUUAGCUUCAGCUGUGCUUAAGCAAGAGAGAGCUGCAGAGGAUUGUAUGAAUAUGAUAGUGAAGGUUGAUGGUGAUGGUGUGAUGAAUUUUACAGAGUUUAAGCAAAUGGUGAAAGGGGGUGGAUUUGCUGCAUUAAUUUAGAGGGUGUUUGUGAGUGAUUGUUCACCCCCGAAAGAAUUGAUUUUUUUGACCGUUAUUUCAAUAUUUCAGCUGUAAAGUUUGACUUCUUCUCUUAUAGGUGGCUUCCACUUUUCUCCGAUCAAAAAAUAAUUCUAAAAAUCGCUCCCAAACGGGGCCUUAAUGUGAAUGCGUGUGAGUGUUUUUUUCCGGAAACUUUUUUAUAGGCUAUGUAAAUAUAUUCAUUCAAAGUACUGUUCACCAAAUUCAAGCAUUUUUGAACAAUAAUUUUGGCUUGUUUAAUAUGAUGAUUUAUACUUUUGGACUCGAGAGAUUUAUAUCUCCAAUUUUGUGUUUUUUCUGUUUGAUGGGAAAGAACGAGUGGAUUUUGAGUGCAGUAACGUCUCGCCCGACAAACGAAAAUCAUUAAAAGAUGGAGGUCAGCCCAAUGGUUUUAACGACAGAUGGAAUGUGAUUCCAAUUGAAGAUAAGUAGCCUUUUUUUUGCAAAUGUUGGCAUUGUGCUAUGGCUAUCUUCACAAUUUUAAUUUCCACUAUUCAUGCUUUAGUAGUAAGAACUAGACUUUUUCAUACUUCAAAUUUUAUCUCUCUUAGCCUUUGAUGUUUGAUGCCUUGAUGUACUAGAGCCUAUCAAUAGUUUAAUUAGUUUAAUUAUGUUGUGAUGU
This 1178-nucleotide long non-coding RNA is filed under the name Olea europaea subsp. europaea. The record is from RNAcentral. Lineage: Eukaryota; Viridiplantae; Streptophyta; Magnoliopsida; Lamiales; Oleaceae.